Molecule: ribosomal RNA, 479 nt
Filed under: uncultured bacterium
Lineage: Bacteria
Description: partial 16S ribosomal RNA
Rfam family: Bacterial small subunit ribosomal RNA
Source: RNAcentral
UAGGGAAUCUUCCACAAUGGACGCAAGUCUGAUGGAGCAACGCCGCGUGAGUGAAGAAGGUUUUCGGAUCGUAAAGCUCUGUUGUUGGUGAAGAAGGAUAGAGGCAGUAACUGGUCUUUAUUUGACGGUAAUCAACCAGAAAGUCACGGCUAACUACGUGCCAGCAGCCGCGGUAAUACGUAGGUGGCAAGCGUUGUCCGGAUUUAUUGGGCGUAAAGCGAGCGCAGGCGGAAUGAUAAGUCUGAUGUGAAAGCCCACGGCUCAACCGUGGAACUGCAUCGGAAACUGUCAUUCUUGAGUGCAGAAGAGGAGAGUGGAACUCCAUGUGUAGCGGUGGAAUGCGUAGAUAUAUGGAAGAACACCAGUGGCGAAGGCGGCUCUCUGGUCUGCAACUGACGCUGAGGCUCGAAAGCAUGGGUAGCGAACAGGAUUAGAUACCCUGGUAGUCCAUGCCGUAAAACGAUGAGCGCUAGGUGUUG